RNAcentral lists this ribosomal RNA (431 nucleotides) under uncultured bacterium. RNAcentral's name for it is "bacterial SSU rRNA". It matches the Rfam family "Bacterial small subunit ribosomal RNA", at positions 958 to 1392 of the family's 1533-position model. The record is from RNAcentral.
AACGCGAAGAACCUUACCAAGGCUUGACAUAUAGCGAAAAGUGGCAGAGAUGUCAUGUCCGCAAGGGCGCUAUACAGGUGGUGCAUGGUUGUCGUCAGCUCGUGUCGUGAGAUGUUGGGUUAAGUCCCGCAACGAGCGCAACCCUCGUUCUGUGUUACCAGCAUUCAGUUGGGGACUCACAGGAGACUGCCGGGGUCAACUCGGAGGAAGGUGGGGAUGACGUCAAAUCAUCAUGCCCCUUAUGUCUUGGGCUGCACGCAUGCUACAAUGGCCGGUACAAAGUGCUGCGAGAUCGUAAGAUUGAGCGAAUCACAUAAAGCCGGUCUCAGUUCGGAUUGAGGUCUGCAACUCGACCUCGUGAAGUCGGAGUUGCUAGUAAUCGUAGAUCAGCAACGCUACGGUGAAUACGUUCCCGGGUCUUGUACACACCG